This 77-nucleotide small RNA is filed under the name Xanthomonas albilineans. Its description in RNAcentral is "sX9 sRNA". It matches the Rfam family "Xanthomonas sRNA sX9". The record is from RNAcentral. Lineage: Bacteria; Pseudomonadati; Pseudomonadota; Gammaproteobacteria; Lysobacterales; Lysobacteraceae. RNAcentral also lists the same sequence under 1 other name.
AUGUACCCCCCUGUACACUGCGGUUCCUGCACACUGUCCGCGCCCACCCGACAGUGACGCGCGACGUUUUGUUAGCC